UACGAGGGGGGGCAAGCGUUGUUCGGAAUUAUUGGGCGUAAAGGGUGCGUAGGCGGUUUGGUAAGUCUUAUGUGAAAUCUACAGGCUCAACUUGUAGUCUGCAUGAGAAACUGCCGGGCUUGAGUAUGGGAGAGGUGAGUGGAAUUCCUGGUGUAGCGGUGAAAUGCGUAGAUAUCAGGAGGAACACCUGUGGCGAAAGCGGCUCACUGGACCAUAACUGACGCUGAUGCACGAAAGCUAGGGGAGCAAACAGG
Molecule: ribosomal RNA, 254 nt
Filed under: uncultured bacterium
Lineage: Bacteria
Description: partial 16S ribosomal RNA
Rfam family: Bacterial small subunit ribosomal RNA
Source: RNAcentral